Long non-coding RNA from Dufourea novaeangliae, 234 nucleotides. RefSeq lists it as uncharacterized. Lineage: Eukaryota; Metazoa; Arthropoda; Insecta; Hymenoptera; Halictidae. The transcript is spliced from 3 exons. The record is from RefSeq and is a predicted model, not a curated record.
GUUGAGCAAAGAAGAAGCUCAUCGAGAGGAAGAACGUCUGGGGUAGACGUCAACGAAAGAGAUUCCCGAGGUGCAAUGAGCUAAUGACGUAAUAGGAAGCACGAGGCCCUCGAACCUUGGCCUCGAGUACCACCUCUCAGUGUGACCGUCGCCGGCAGUGGCCCAAUCCCCGCCGGUCGUCGUUCACGUGUCUCCUUCCCCCGAAACACGUACAAAUACGGUACGGAACUAGAU